CUCAGCAAUGACUCUGUCUUGGGAGGGAGAGAGAGAGAAGAAGACCACUGCCUCAGCAAUGACUCUGUCUUGGGAGGGAGAGAGAGAGGAGGGGACACCGGCCUCUAAAAUGAGUCUCCUUCAAGGCAUUAGUUCUAAGAGAGUCAGAGAGAGGAAGGGAGCAGAAUCACCUACACCCAGCCUGUUAUCAACGAAGAGUGACAACUUAAUGUUUCAACCACCUGAAUUCAGCAGGGAACCUCUGAGCGAUGAGAAAAUAUAUGAAAGAUAUAAGUCCAGGCUGCAGCAAGAGGAUGACAAAUAGUUGCAGCUGAAAUAUCUAUUUAUAUUUUCAAAACUCAAGUCAUAUGAAGGUAAAUUAAUGUUUUUAGGUUGUUAUCUCCGGAGUCAGAAAGAGAAACGGAGCUGAAUCACUUACACCCAGCCUGUUAUCAAUAAAGAGUGACAACCACCUGAAUUCAGAAUGGACCAAAAGUAUGUGGACACCUGAUAGUCGAACAUCUCAUUCCAAAAGUUGAUCCCCCUUUAGCUGCUAUAACAGCCUCCACUCUUAUGGGAAGGCUUUCCACUAGAUGUUGGAACAUUGCUGCAGGGACUUGCUUCCAUUCAGCCACAAGCGCAUUAAGGUCGGACACUGAUGUUGGGUGAUUAGGCCUGGCUUGCAGUCUGUGUUCCAAUUCAUCCCAAAGGUGGUUGAUGGGGUUGAGGUCAGGGCUCUGUGCAGGUCAGUCAAGUUCUUCCGCACCGAUCUCGACAAACCAUUUCUGUAUCGACCUCGCUUUGUGCACGGAGGCGUGUCAUGCUGAAACAGAAAGGGGCCCUCCCGAAACUGGUGCCACAAAGUUGGAAGUACAGUAUAUUCUAGAAUGUCAUUGUAUGUUGGCACAUUGGAUUCUUCCGAUGGCAUUGAGGAGUACACCACAUCAAUCAUUGGCUUCAUCAGUAAGUGCAUCGAUGACGUUGUCCCCACAGUGACCGUACGUACAUACCCCAACCAGAAGCCAUGGAUUACAGGGAACAAACGCACUGAGCUAAAGGGUAGAGCUGCCGCUUUCAAGG
This 1059-nucleotide long non-coding RNA is filed under the name Salmo salar (Atlantic salmon). Its description in RNAcentral is "lncRNA (ENSSSAG00000100001.1, ENSSSAG00020073049.1)". The record is from RNAcentral. Lineage: Eukaryota; Metazoa; Chordata; Actinopteri; Salmoniformes; Salmonidae.